GACCUCGAUUUGCGGGUUAUGAUGCAUCAUGUGCUGGAUGGAAACAACCAGUCUGCCGGCAGAAGUUUUCAUUGCUCCUGCCCCUAACAUGGGGGUUUUGACCCAGCACUUGACCAGCUGAAGACCUCAGAGCCCAAUAACGAGCCACCUGGGGCUGGACUGGAGGUGAUCCUUGGAAGGAUAAAUAAACCCAAUUUAAAGAUGUUGG
Molecule: long non-coding RNA, 208 nt
Filed under: Elaeis guineensis (African oil palm)
Lineage: Eukaryota; Viridiplantae; Streptophyta; Magnoliopsida; Arecales; Arecaceae
Description: long non-coding RNA (EGUI_LNC080335)
Source: RNAcentral